UGGCCAACGUUGCCGCGGGCUGUAAUAGAAAUGGAUGUUUGAGAAAAAACAGAACAGAUCCACGCUCCUUUCUUACCUCUUUUUCCUCUUUUCCCAUCAGCCCCGGGCGUUCCAUUCACUCCUGGGAUGCCAUCAGUCCCAUUCUGACCAGGCAUGCCGUCUGCACCCGGCAAACCUACAGCAACACAAAAAAAUGUUCACCAAGAGCUGAAUGGAAACACCAUCCAACGAUGAGGUAACAAACUGGACCUGGAACCUUCAUGUCCUCUGAUGAUCACAGGCCACAGGACUGAUGCACAUUUCAACCAGAUGCUGAUAAAAUAAUUCAUCAUACAACAACAGACUGUGUAGAGAGUCUCUACGUGUGACUGGCUGCAGUGCUGCUUUCUUUCUCUCACCGGCACCAUGGAGUGGAUCUCCUGCAUCUCCUGCUUCAGCUCCUUCUCCAUCUCUUCACUCCUCUUGUUCCUGGAGUAUUGGUACUGGUAUUGUGGCUGCUCCCCCCCGGCGCUCGCCCUCAACCCGGCCGCUC
Long non-coding RNA from Acanthochromis polyacanthus (spiny chromis), 532 nucleotides. RefSeq lists it as uncharacterized. The transcript is spliced from 3 exons. The record is from RefSeq and is a predicted model, not a curated record. NCBI's taxonomy places the organism in Eukaryota, Metazoa, Chordata, Actinopteri, Pomacentridae.